AUGUAUCUGUUGGCAUUAAAUUCUCAGGGAGGCAAUGUUGUGGACUUUGACUGGGCCACCCAUGCUUCUAACUAUUGGGUCUGUGAUGGGAUUAUAGGAGGUCAGGAUGACAAAGCAUGGGAGGCUGGAGCUGCUCUGCAUAAACAUAUAUGUAUAGAGGAUUAUUCAUCUAAUGCACUACCCUCAUUUGGUCAGAAACUAGUGACUCCUCAGAAACAGUGGAUAUUGGCCAGGGACAACUUUGUUGUGCAUCCAGAGUCAACGUCCUUUUUCCUUGAUGCAGUCGCAAGCAGAUUUGAUCCUCCAUCAUGGUUGUUACCUAAUGACAUGUUUCAUCAAGCGGAGAAUCUUCAUGUGCUCAAAUUAUGCCACUGCACCUUCAGUUUUUCCUCCCCUCCUUUCCAUUGUUGCCACAACUUAAGAUUCCUCGGAUUAGAUAGUUGCCAGGAUCAACGACUAGAAGAAGACAAAAAGGAAGAUACACCAACAAUGGUUUUUUGUAAGAGCCUAUGGGUGAUAGACAUAUGCAAUACAUAUUGGGUUUUUCCUUCAUCACGAGAGAUAGUAGAGCAGAUGGCUGCAAACAUUAGGGAAGUACAUAUAAAAAAUGGAAGGUUUUUGCACAUCAAUGUUGCAUGGGGACAACUACAGAACCUACUCAAGCUUCGAGUAAUGGACCCUACUUGGGAGACGGGUGGAAAGGAUGAAUUCACUGUUUUGCCCAACUUGUCAAGAUCAACUAACCUCAAGGCUCUAGUUCUAAAUGGUUGUUUUGGUUUGGAACAUGUUGAUGGACUCCCUCUAUCACUUGAAUCAUUCAGCUUAGAUAUAAGACCAAGAGAUGAUGAUUCCAAGGAAGCCAAAAUAAGCCGCAUCUCCUUGGCUGGCUGUGUAAGAUUGUCCGACUUCACACUGUGUGGAUCACUUCCAAACCUUGAGGAGUUGGACCUCUCAGGCACAAAAGUCAAGACACUUGACCUCACAACUGAGGUAGUGGAGGUCCCAUGUCUCCAACGUGUCAUGAUGUUGGGAUGUGAGCAACUCCGUGCUGUGCUUUGGCCAGAAAAAAGGAUGCCCAAACUAAGUUUGCUAUGCAUUGACACUCGAGGAGAAGGUAUCAGAAGAAUGCCACCAGAUUCUGAGAAGUUAAAAAAGGGUCAUUGUCAAGCAUAUGUUGCCAUGAUGGACAUGAAAUUCAUUCAGAUAUUGACACAGACAAGUAACAUUAAUAUGUUUUGGAGUAUUGAAACCACUAAUCUUAGUCUAAACAUUUGCAUUUCUGCUAGUGGACAGUGGUGCAACAAAGAUAAGAUGGGCUCUGGUAAUUGUGGGAAUAUAUUGGGGCCAUCCCUACCAAAGUCAUUAAUCCCCAAUCAAUCUUAUAGCGAUUUUUCUAUUGACAAUAUAACUAUUGAUCAUGGCUACAAUAGUGCAGUGCAGUUUCAGCCUUCGACAUGUCAUGUGGAGAUUGGUGAAGGAAUUAUCAACACUAGCAUGGAGAGCACACAAGGAAACGAGGCUAUCUAUUUGUGA
Molecule: ribosomal RNA, 1533 nt
Filed under: Triticum aestivum (bread wheat)
Lineage: Eukaryota; Viridiplantae; Streptophyta; Magnoliopsida; Poales; Poaceae
Description: partial small subunit ribosomal RNA
Source: RNAcentral